RNAcentral lists this long non-coding RNA (182 nucleotides) under Chinchilla lanigera (long-tailed chinchilla). Its description in RNAcentral is "lncRNA (ENSCLAG00000027492.1)". Lineage: Eukaryota; Metazoa; Chordata; Mammalia; Rodentia; Chinchillidae. The record is from RNAcentral.
GAGUGAUUUUCCAAAAAGAAGUGAUUUACAUUCACCUGGCUUUUCCUCUGGCUUGGUUGGACAUGCUUGAAACCAUGCACCCUUUAUUCCUGACAGGAAAGAAGAGUUGAUGCUCUGAAGUGGAACUGUGGAACACAGGAUGGGCGUACCCAUCACUGAGGUGUGCACCAUCACCCCACACC